AGAGUUUGAUCCUGGCUCAGGAUGAACGCUAGCGGCAGGCCUAAUACAUGCAAGUCGAACGGUAAAUAUUUAGCAAUAAAUAUGAGAGUGACGUACGGGUGCGUAACACGUAUGCAACCUACCCUUUACAGGCGGAUAGCUCGGGGAAACUCGAAUUAACCCGCCGUAAUAUAAUUGGAUGGCAUCAUCUGGUUAUUAAAUCUACGGAGGUAAAGGAUGGGCAUGCGUCUGAUUAGUUAGUUGGCGGGGUAACGGCCCACCAAGACGAUGAUCAGUAGGGGAACUGAGAGGUUGAUCCCCCACACUGGCACUGAGAUACGGGCCAGACUCCUACGGGAGGCAGCAGUAGGGAAUAUUGGUCAAUGGAUGGAAGUCUGAACCAGCCAUGCCGCGUGCAGGAAGAAGGCCUUCUGGGUUGUAAACUGCUUUUGCCAGGGGAUAAAAUGACCUUGCGAGGUUAAUUGAAGGUACCUGGUGAAUAAGCCACGGCUAACUACGUGCCAGCAGCCGCGGUAAUACGUAGGUGGCAAGCGUUGUCCGGAUUUAUUGGGUUUAAAGGGUGCGUAGGCGGCUUAUUAAGUCAGUGGUGAAACACUCUAGCUCAACUAGAGGGGUGCCAUUGAUACUGAUGAGCUUGAGUACAGAUGAGGUAGGCGGAAUUGACGGUGUAGCGGUGAAAUGCUUAGAUAUCGUCAAGAACACCUAUAGCGAAGGCAGCUUACUAGGCUGUAACUGACGCUGAGGCACGAAAGUGUGGGGAUCAAACAGGAUUAGAUACCCUGGUAGUCCACACUGUAAACGUUGAUUACUCGCUGUGUGCGAUAUACAGUACGCGGCCAAGCGAAAGCGAUAAGUAAUCCACCUGGGGAGUACGCCGGCAACGGUGAAACUCAAAGGAAUUAACGGGGGUCCGCACAAGCGGUGGAGCAUGUGGUUUAAUUCGAUGAUACGCGAGGAACCUUACCUGGACUAGAAUGCCCUUGACCGAUCCAGAGAUGGAUUUUUCCGCGAGGACAAGGAGCAAGGUGCUGCAUGGCCGUCGUCAGCUCGUGCCGUGAGGUGUUGGGUUAAGUCCCGCAACGAGCGCAACCCCUAUUUUUAGUUGCCAACAGGUUAAGCUGGGGACUCUAAAAAGACUACCCGCGCAAGCGGAGAGGAAGGAGGGGACGACGUCAGGUCAUCAUGGCCCUUACGUCCAGGGCUACACAC
RNAcentral lists this ribosomal RNA (1209 nucleotides) under metagenome. RNAcentral's name for it is "bacterial SSU rRNA". It matches the Rfam family "Bacterial small subunit ribosomal RNA", at positions 8 to 1221 of the family's 1533-position model. The record is from RNAcentral.